GAUGAACGCUGGCGGCGUGCCUAAUACAUGCAAGUCGAGCGAACAGACGAGGAGCUUGCUCCUCUGACGUUAGCGGCGGACGGGUGAGUAACACGUGGAUAACCUACCUAUAAGACUGGGAUAACUUCGGGAAACCGGAGCUAAUACCGGAUAAUAUAUUUAACCGCAUGGUUCAAUAUUGAAAGACGGUUUUGCUGUCACUUAUAGAUUGAUCCGCGCCGCAUUAUCUAGUUGGUAAGGUAACGGCUUACCAAGGCAACGAUGCGUAGCCGACCUGAGAGGGUGAUCGGCCACACUGGAACUGAGACACGGUCCAGACUCCUACGGGAGGCAGCAGUAGGGAAUCUUCCGCAAUGGGCGAAAGCCUGACGGAGAAACGCCGCGUGAGUGAUGAAGGUCUUCGGAUCGUAAAACUCUGUUAUUAGGGAAGAACAAAUGUGUAAGUAACUAUGCACGUCUUGACGGUACCUAAUCAGAAAGCCACGGCUAACUACGUG
This 497-nucleotide ribosomal RNA is filed under the name uncultured bacterium. RNAcentral describes it as "partial 16S ribosomal RNA". It matches the Rfam family "Bacterial small subunit ribosomal RNA", at positions 28 to 507 of the family's 1533-position model. The record is from RNAcentral.